UACAGAGGGUGCAAGCGUUAAUCGGAAUUACUGGGCGUAAAGGGCGCGUAGGCGGAUAUAUAAGUCGGAUGUGAAAGACCUGGGCUUAACCUGGGAAGUGCAUGUGAAACUGUGUAUCUGGAGUAGAGUAGAGGGGAGUGGAAUUUCCGGAGUAGCGGUGAAAUGCGUAGAUAUCGGAAGGAACACCAGUGGCGAAGGCGGCUCCCUGGACUCAUACUGACGCUGAGGCGCGAAAGCGUGGGUAGCAAACAGG
Molecule: ribosomal RNA, 253 nt
Filed under: uncultured bacterium
Lineage: Bacteria
Description: partial 16S ribosomal RNA
Rfam family: Bacterial small subunit ribosomal RNA
Source: RNAcentral